Molecule: microRNA precursor, 75 nt
Filed under: Pterocles gutturalis (yellow-throated sandgrouse)
Lineage: Eukaryota; Metazoa; Chordata; Aves; Pterocliformes; Pteroclidae
Description: mir-1759 microRNA precursor family
Rfam family: mir-1759 microRNA precursor family
Source: Rfam by way of RNAcentral
GCUGCUGUAGGGUGGGAGGAGAGAGGAGUUACCUUAUCAGCUGUCUUGUCUCCCAUCCUUUCCUUCUGCAGAAGC